RNAcentral lists this long non-coding RNA (2834 nucleotides) under Homo sapiens (human). RNAcentral describes it as "HSALNT0379680". Lineage: Eukaryota; Metazoa; Chordata; Mammalia; Primates; Hominidae. The record is from RNAcentral.
AUAAAGUUGAAGCUGCACACUCAAUAUAUGUCAUUAUAAUAUUUUAAUUAAUUAAUAGUGACUUUAAUAUGAAUAAAGACUUAAAGCAGAUUUCAACACAAUCUUCUGGUACUGUCUAUCCCUAGGGCAUUAACAUGACCCUCUUCCUUGGAGCUGAAGGUUUUUGGUGUGUGGCCCUCCAGAGCCCUCUCCACCCUCCUCUGCUCUGCUGACCCAGUGGCCUGGGAGGCUGACCUUCAUGGAUUAUUGUAUCAUAUGGGUUUCCUUGGUCUCUGUUUCAUUUUAGGGUUUGGCCAAUGGAAAGUAUCAGCAGAAAUUAAGAGGAUGAAAGAAAAGAGUGUGUUAUUUAUUCUCCAGCUCACCCCCUGUAGAUUGGCAGUGGCUGCUUUCCUCUACCAAAGGGCCCAGUUAAGUCAGACAGCCUCUGCUAAACUACAAGUCUCUCUAGGGUCCAGUAAGUGCUCCCUUCCCUUGCCUCCUUAGGCCUAAGGAUGGUCAUAGCUCUCUGCAGCUACUGGCUCCAGAAUGCCCCCCUAAUCCUGCUUGCACCUUUGUAAAUAGCCCCUUCAUUAAUCUUUCUUCAAUCACUCCUUUGGAGUAAGCAAUUAGUCUACUACAUGGACUCAGAUGACUACGCUAUUUUUAUUUUUAUUUUUUGAGACAGUCUUGCUCUGUCACCCAGGCUGGAGUGCAGUGGUGUGAUCUCGGCUCACUGCAGCCUCUGACUCCUGGGUUCAAGCAAUUCUCCUGCCUCAGCCUCCCAAGUAGCUGGGAUUAUAGGCGAGUGCUACCACACCCGGCUAAUUUUUGUAUUUUUAGUAGAGACGGGGUUUCACCAUGUUGGCCAGGCUGGUCUCAAACUCCGGACCUAAUGAUCUGCCCACCUUGGCCCCCCAAAGUGCUGGGAUUACAGAUAUGAGCCACAGUGCCCAGCCCAGAUGACUACACUUUAUGAGGGUGAUGUUGCUGUUCUAGUCUCUUUCUAAUGACAAACGGAUCUUAAGUUGCUCAGGUGACUACAUUUCAGUCCUUUUCUCUCAUUGUCUCCAUACUGUCUUCUCUUUUCAUUCCCCUCCUGUCCCGAGCUGUUCUCAGCAAUAACUUCACUAAUGUUUACCCAUGCCUGUGCAAAAGCCAGCACUCCCAGAAAGUCCUAGCAUUCUCCAACUCUCUACAAAAAGGGUCUUGGCUUUUGUUUUCUUUCAGAAUAUUUAUAUUUUAAGCAUGGAGAGCUUUAAAAAAGAAUCAGCUACUAAAUUUUCUUUAAAAUGACUAUCCCACACCUGUCACCCUGUUUAUUCUCUUUUUUUUCAUAAUUACACAUUUGUUUUAUUCCACAUUAUACAUACAACAGUCUCAGAACAAUAAUGCCAAUACCACCACCGCUCAUGUAAUUACUGAAAACAGCUAAAUCAUUUUUGUAUAUACUUUCUUCAUCUUCCCCACUUUUAAAAAAUAGAUGUAUAGCACAAUUGCACUGUAUCAACAAUGUUAAUGCAUAUAUAAUCCUUGCAUACAAUAUGCUUUUAUAAUUCUCAUCUAAUCUUAGUUCUUUUUUUUUUUAUUGAUCAUUCUUGGGUGUUUCUCACAUAGGGGGAUUUGGCAGGGUCAUAGGACAAUAGUGGAGGGAAGGUCAACAGAUAAACAAGUGAACAAAGGUCUCUGGUUUUCCUAGGCAGUGGACCCUGCGGCCUACCGCAGUGUUUGUGUCCCUGGGUACUUGAGAUUAGGGAGUGGUGAUGACUCUUAACGAGCAUGCUGCCUUCAAGCAUCUGUUUAACAAAGCACAUCUUGCACCACCCUUAAUCCAUUUAACCCUGAGUGGACACAGCACAUGUUUCAGAGACCACUGGGUUGGGGGUAAGGUCACAGAUCAACAGCAUCCCAAGGCAGAAGAACCUUUCCCAGUACAGAACAAAAUGGAGUCUCCCAUGUCCACUUCCCUCUACACAGACACAGCAACAAUCUGAUUUCUCCAUCCUUUCCCCACAUUUCCCCCCUCUCCAUUUGACAGAACCGCCAUCAUCAUCAUGGCCCGCUCUCAAUGAGCCACUGGGCACACCUCCCAGACAGGGCGGCAGCUGGGCAGAGGGGCUCCUCACCUUCCAGAAGGGGCGGCCGGGCAGAGGCGCCCCCCCACCUCCCUCCCGGACGGGGCGGCUGGCCGGGUGGGGGCUGCCCCCUACCUCCCUCCCGGGCGGGGUGGCUGGCCGGGCGGGGGCUGCCCCCCACCUCCCAGAUGGGGUGGCUGCCGGGCGGAGGGGCUCCUCACUUCUCAGACGGGGCGGCUGCUGGGCGGAGGGGCUCCUCACUUCUCAGACGGGGCAGCUGCCGGGCGGACGGGCUCCUCACUUCUCAGACAGGGCGGCCGGGCAGAGACGCUCCUCACCUCCCAGACGGGGUCGCGGCCGGGCAGAGGCGCUCCUCACAUCCCAGACGGGGCGGCGGGGCAGAGGCGCUCCCCACAUCUCAGACGAUGGGCAGCCGGGCAGAGAUGCUCCUCACUUCCUAGACAGGAUGGCAGCUGGGAAGAGGCGCUCCUCACUUCCCAGACUGGGCAGCCGGGCAGAGGGGCUCCUCACAUCCCAGACAAUGGGCGGCCAGGCAGAGAUGCUCCUCACUUCCCAGAUGGGGUGGCGGCUGGGCAGAGGCUGCAAUCUCGGCACUUUGGGAGGCCAAGGCAGGUGGCUGGGAGGUGGAGGUUGUAGCUAGCCGAGAUCACGCCACUGCACUCCAGCCUGGGCAACAUUGAGCACUGAGUGAACAAGACUCCGUCUGCAAUCCCGGCACCUCGGGAGGCCGAGGCUGGCAGAUCACUCGUGGUUAGGAGCUGG